UACGUAGGGCGCGAGCGUUGUCCGGAAUUACUGGGCGUAAAGAGCUUGUAGGUGGUUUGGCGCGUUGGGCGUGAAAACUCACAGCUCAACUGUGGGCGUGCGGGCGAUACGGGCAGACUAGAGUACUGCAGGGGAGACUGGAAUUCCUGGUGUAGCGGUGGAAUGCGCAGAUAUCAGGAGGAACACCGGUGGCGAAGGCGGUUCUCUGGGCAGGUCCUGACGCUGAGGAGCGAAAGUGUGGGGAGCGAACAGG
Molecule: ribosomal RNA, 253 nt
Filed under: uncultured bacterium
Lineage: Bacteria
Description: partial 16S ribosomal RNA
Rfam family: Bacterial small subunit ribosomal RNA
Source: RNAcentral